UGAUGUGAGCCAAAGGCCGACCGUGCGCUCUUCCCUCCUCGCGGUUCAAUGCAGGCGUUCUCGCCUGGCAUUCUAAAACCCUAAAAAGUGGUCAGGUUUUGGCCAGCCUUGCUCCCCCCGCCAGGGGGGACAGGGCCCCCCGCCCCCUCAUAAGGGCACCCAGGGCUUUUUUCAUGGCUUUUCCCCUCUCUGAAAAGCCUGUGUCCGAGGGUUGAGCGGGUCGUGUCUCUGAACGGUCCGGGGCUGCAGUGCGGGGUUGCGAGGGAUGCCUGGCUCCUGUGGCCGGGCGUCAGUGGCGCGCCCACCUCCAAGCAACGAGGCCCCUGCAGCCGCCGCGCCCUGAAGUGCUGUGCAGUCUCGCAUUUGAAGCCUGAUUUAUUGCUCCGUUUUG
Molecule: non-coding RNA, 391 nt
Filed under: Klebsormidium nitens
Lineage: Eukaryota; Viridiplantae; Streptophyta; Klebsormidiophyceae; Klebsormidiales; Klebsormidiaceae
Source: RNAcentral